This 774-nucleotide ribosomal RNA is filed under the name uncultured fungus. Its description in RNAcentral is "eukaryotic LSU rRNA". It matches the Rfam family "Eukaryotic large subunit ribosomal RNA", at positions 30 to 821 of the family's 3401-position model. Lineage: Eukaryota; Fungi. The record is from RNAcentral.
GAACUUAAGCAUAUCAAUAAGCGGAGGAAAAGAAACCAACUGGGAUUGCCUCAGUAACGGCGAGUGAAGCGGCAUCAGCUCAGAUUUGAAAUCUGGUUCUUUCAGAGCCCGAGUUGUAAUCUGUAGAGGAGUCUUCGGGUUUGGAUCUGGCCUAAGUUUCUUGGAACAGAACGUCAUAGAGGGUGAGAGUCCCGUAUGAGGCCAGCUACCUAUUCCUAUGUGAAGCUUCUUCGACGAGUCGAGUUGUUUGGGAAUGCAGCUCAAAAUGGGUGGUAAAUUUCAUCUAAAGCUAAAUAUUGGCGGGAGACCGAUAGCGCACAAGUAGAGUGAUCGAAAGAUGAAAAGCACUUUGAAAAGAGAGUUAAAAAGUACGUGAAAUUGUUGAAAGGGAAACGCUUGCGAUUAGACUUGCGCUCAGGUGAUCAACCGGUGUUCUCACCGGUGCACUCUCCUGCUUGCAGGCCAGCAUCGGUUUGGGCGGUUGGAUAAAGGCCCUAGGAAUGUAGCUGCCCUCGGGCAGUGUUAUAGCCUAGGGUGUAAUGCAGCCAGCCUGGACCGAGGACCGCGCUUCGGCUAGGAUGCUGGCAUAAUGGUCGUAAGCGACCCGUCUUGAAACACGGACCAAGGAGUCUAACAUCUAUGCGAGUGUUUGGGUGGAAAACCCAAGCGCGUAAUGAAAGUGAACGUAGGUGAGAACCCCUAAGGGUGCAUCAUCGACCGAUCUUGAUGUCUUCGGAUGGAUUUGAGUAAGAGCAUAGCUGUUGGGACCCGAAA